GAUCGUCACACAGCUGCAGAGCCCCUCAUUCUCCAGUCGCUUCAGCUCACGCUCAAGUUCAGCUUUGUAUUCCACAUUGCCAGAGUCUUUUCUGCACGUCAAGCAGACGAACCCACCUGCAGGAAACAGGGGUCAAACAGGUCUCUGACCACAUGGACAGGAACGUGACCGACGCACAGAGCUCCGCACAUCACAACCACGUCAAAGGAUUCUGUCGAAAGACAUCAAGAAAUCUCCCCAGACCUGACGAAAGAACAUCCCCAUGGAUCUGUAGCCCAUCUCUGUCUCCAGAAAACAACCACUGAUGUGUUGCAGCCAGCUGCUACAUGGGCAUUUCCUCAGUCAAGUCCAGUACCUGGGGUUCUCAGCACUAAGGCACCUGUGUGCUGGAUUGUCACAGUUGAGACUUGCUCAUGAUGCCUCAGUUGCUAUGCUUCAUCUGAAUCUCAACAAGUAACCCGUCAUGUGACACAGUCAUUCCAGUAUAUAAGAAUAUAUAAGAAUUUGUAAUUUCAAUUUCAAUUUAUUUUCAUUUAUAUAGCGCCAAAUCACAAUAGAGUUGCUUCAAGGCGCUUCACACAGGUAAGGUCUAACCUUACUAACCCCCAGAGCAACAGUGGUAAGGAAAAACUCCCUCUGAGGAAGAAAUCUCAAGCACACCAGACAGAAACCUCAAGCAGACCAGACAAUAGAAGUAUAGAAGAAUUUGUUCUCCAGAGAGGACUUGAACCAGCCAUUAUCUUAAGUCAAUGAUUAACUUCUAAGGGAUGCAUAUAUAAUCCACGUGCACACCUUUUUCCACAAGAUGGAAUUUAUGUGGGAAUUAUCUGUGGUGAUAAUCUGUGUACCUGCACAUACUGCAGAUCAUGUGUACAGUGGGCUGAUAGAGGCUACAACACUUCAACAUUAGCAAGUGCAAAAAAUGUGAACAAAUACAAAAAAAUUUAAAAUAAAAAUCACCAGACUCAAUAAAGUUCCUUUGGACAGAAACCCCUUUUUGUGUUUGAAUUACUUCUGGUGUGUUGAGUAGCUUUGCAAGCAUGCCUGAGUUUGUGCAUGUACUGUGUCAGCUUGCAGCAGUUACAUAAAUUGUUACAUGUGCUGUUAUAUUUGUGUUUUCUGUCUUAGCAAGGUUUUUAUUAAUUUGCAAGGUGUUUUUGAUGUAACUAUCUGUUCCAGAAUUGAUGCAGGUUUGUUUGUUUUUUCCAUUUGUCUUUUCUGCACCUCCAAAUGCUGCUUUAUUUUACAUUGUUGCAGCCUCCAUCCACAACUGUAGGAUACAUGAAAAUAGAACUAAAAAAAAUACUAUAUAUGCAGACGGGGGUGGGGGGGGGGGGGGGGGCACAGGAAAAACAGAAAUUAAAGAAAGUCAAUUACACAGAACAUUUCUUAUUUGUGGAGGAUUAGCAGCAAUCUUCCAU
This is a long non-coding RNA of Thalassophryne amazonica, 1421 nucleotides long. RefSeq lists it as uncharacterized. The transcript is spliced from 3 exons. Lineage: Eukaryota; Metazoa; Chordata; Actinopteri; Batrachoidiformes; Batrachoididae. The record is from RefSeq and is a predicted model, not a curated record.